RNAcentral lists this ribosomal RNA (717 nucleotides) under Lactobacillus sp. RNAcentral's name for it is "bacterial SSU rRNA". It matches the Rfam family "Bacterial small subunit ribosomal RNA", at positions 69 to 769 of the family's 1533-position model. The record is from RNAcentral. Lineage: Bacteria; Bacillati; Bacillota; Bacilli; Lactobacillales; Lactobacillaceae.
GGUGCUUGCUCGGAGAUUCCGCAACCCCUUAGUGGUUUACUGGUGAGUAACCCCUGGAUAACCUGCCCUUCAUUGGGGGAUAACAUUUGUAAAACAGAUGCUAAUACCCAUAAAUCCAAUAACCGCCUGGUUCUUGGACUAAAGAUGGCGUAAGCUAUUUCUUUUGGAUGGACCCGCGGCGUAUUAGCUUGUUGGUGAGGUAAUGGCUCACCAAGGCCAUGAUACUUAGCCGAACUGAGAGGUUGAUCGGCCACCUUGGGACUGAGACACGGCCCAAACUCCUACGGGAGGCAGCCCUAAGGAAUCUUCCACAAUGGACGCAAGUGUGAUGGACCAACGCCGCGUGAGUGAAGAAGGCUUUCGGGUCGUAAAACUCUGUUGUUGGAGAAGAAUGGUCGGUAGAGCCACUGGUGUCAGCCUGACGGUAUCCAACCAGAAAGCCACGGCUAACUACGUGCCAGCAGCCGCGGUAAUACGUAUGUGGCAAGCGUUAUCCCGAUUUAUUGGGCGCAAAGCGAGUUCACGUGGAUUUUUAACUCUGAGGUGAAAGCCCUCGGCUUAACCGAAGAAACGCAUCCGAAACUGGGAAACUUGGGUGCACAACAGGACAGUGGAACUCCAUGUGUAGCGGUGAAAUGCCCCGAUAUAUGGAAAAACACCCCUGGCCAAGGCUGUUGACUGGUCGCAACUGAAGCUAAAGAUCCAAGCCUUGGCAGG